GAUGAACGCUGGCGGCGUGCCUAAUACAUGCAAGUCGAGCGAAUGGAUUAAGAGCUUGCUCUUAUGAAGUUAGCGGCGGACGGGUGAGUAACACGUAGGUAACCUGCCCAUAAGACUGGGAUAACUCCGGGAAACCGGGGCUAAUACCGGAUAACAUUUUGAACCGCAUGGUUCGAAAUUGAAAGGCGGCUUCGGCUGUCACUUAUGGAUGGACCCGCGUCGCAUUAGCUAGUUGGGGAGGUAACGGCUCACCAAGGCAACGAUGCGUAGCCGACCUGAGAGGGUGAUCGGCCACACUGGGACUGAGGCACGGCCCAGACUCCUACGGGAGGCAGCAGUAGGGAAUCUUCCGCAAUGGACGAAAGUCUGACGGAGCAACGCCGCGUGAGUGAUGAAGGCUUUCGGGUCGUAAAACUCUGUUGUUAGGGAAGAACAAGUGCUAGUUGAAUAAGCUGGCACCUUGACGGUACCUAACCAGAAAGCCACGGCUAACUACGUGCCAGCCGCCGCAGUAA
RNAcentral lists this ribosomal RNA (515 nucleotides) under uncultured bacterium. Its description in RNAcentral is "partial 16S ribosomal RNA". It matches the Rfam family "Bacterial small subunit ribosomal RNA", at positions 28 to 523 of the family's 1533-position model. The record is from RNAcentral.